Long non-coding RNA from Triticum aestivum (bread wheat), 1375 nucleotides. RefSeq lists it as uncharacterized. The record is from RefSeq and is a predicted model, not a curated record. The transcript has 3 exons. NCBI's taxonomy places the organism in Eukaryota, Viridiplantae, Streptophyta, Magnoliopsida, Poales, Poaceae.
UCCAGUGCCGCCAUGUCCCUCCGGCUCGAUCCCCAUCUUCCUCCUCGCUCGAUCUCCCCUUCCCCUCCUUCCACCUAGCGCCGCCACCACCUCCCUCUGCAGCGCCAGACCUCCACCAGCGGCUCUCCUUUGCCCCGCUGCUCCUCUGUCUCUAACCCCGGCCGGAUCAACUCGGUUCCCCGAUGCCCUCGCCUCGCACUGGCAAGUGACCCUGCCGGAGUGCCCUGCCAGAGACCCAGUAGCCACCAUGGACGCCAUAGCGCAGCCCUGCCUCCGUUCCCGCGACCAUGCACCGGCCAGCAGCAGGGAACUACGCACGCCCCUGCUCGAAGAAGUUGCCGCCUCCCCGACCGGACCUGGUGCCUCGCCGUCCCAGCGCUGGACCCAGAGGCCGCAAUUCUCGUCGGACCUCUGCCUCGCCCCAUUCAUCAUGCUGCCUGUUGGCCCUCCGUUUUUCCUCGCUGUGAGCACGUUCGGCCAUGGACGUUUUGAGCCGUUUGCCUCCUGCACACAUCGUGGCUUCCUCCAAAUCCAUCGAAGGACACCGUGCAACAAAUAACCAAGUACCCAUGGAUGCAAGUACCAACCGUUGCAUUCCGUUUCAUCUUUGCCAAGGCCGAGAGUAUGCCAAGUACCACGACGUUGAUGCCCCUCAAGUUCGACUACAUGGAAUCGCCAAGUACCCCUACGCCCGAAGAUGCCAAGACCGUUUCGGGAUUCACCAAGUACCGCUACCGUUGACUCGAACAUCUACGAAAAAGUGUACCUCUAUCGUCGCCGAGAUCGCGAGAACCUCUACCGACGACCCCGGAGCGUGUAUGACGAUCAUUGUCGGAGACCCAUACCUCUACCGCUUCCCGAACAUGAACGACUACUUCCACUACGACCGUCCUGAGAACGUCUACUUCCCCUUCAUUGCACCGAACUCGACUCGCUUCGAAAAUGCACCCUUGAAAGGUAUAUCCGCCGGAACGAUGUCGUGGACCGUAUGCAUGUGACGUGUUGUAUGAGAUGCAUGUUUGGAUGUUGUAUCCGCCCGUGAACGUUAGUUGUUCCGUUAUUGACACCGUCGUCGAACCGUGGGAACCCGGUAACCGGGAGCACCUCACCAUCUCUUGCGUGUUCCACACAUCCGCACACUUGCUUCUUUUGCACCGAUAUCUCCGUGAGACACCGGUACCGACUUGUUGUCGUGGCAUCAUUUUCGGAUUUGUUACCGUGGCACCAUUCCCGUUUCGCCGCCAUGGCCCCCUUUUGUUCCGACAUGGCAACAAAUGCUUCAAAAUAUGCUCAUGUCGACUUUUAACAAAAAUUGCAUAAAACUUGCACAUGGCAUCCACAUCAUGAUAACAACAUUUGAAUGGUUUAAAUUGUU